Molecule: ribosomal RNA, 492 nt
Filed under: Drosophila adunca
Lineage: Eukaryota; Metazoa; Arthropoda; Insecta; Diptera; Drosophilidae
Description: partial 16S ribosomal RNA
Source: RNAcentral
UUAAUAAUAUUCUUAUUAAAAAUAUAAUUAUUUAAAUAUUUGGUCCUUUCGUACUAAAAUAUUUUAAUUUUUUAAAGAUAGAAACCAACCUGGCUUACGCCGGUUUGAACUCAGAUCAUGUAAGAAUUUAAAAGUCGAACAGACUUAAAAUUUGAACGGCUACACCCAAAAUUAUAUCUUAAUCCAACAUCGAGGUCGCAAUCUUUUUUAUCGAUAUGAACUCUCCAAAAAAAUUACGCUGUUAUCCCUAAAGUAACUUAAAUUUUUAAUCAUUAUUAAUGGAUCAAUAAUUCAUAAAUUAAUGGUUUUAAAAAUUAAAAGUUUUUUAAAUUUUAAUAUCACCCCAAUAAAAUAUUUUAAUUUAUUAUAAUAAAAAUAAUCUGUAUAAUUAAAAUAAACAAAAUAUAAAGAUUNAUAGGGUCUUCUCGUCUAGUAAAUGUAUUUUAGCUUGUGGACUACAAAAUAAAAUUGUAUAAAAAAUUUAAAUGAAAC